GACGAACGCUGGCGGCGUGCCUAAUACAUGCAAGUCGAACGAGAGCGACCGGUGCUUGCACUGGUCAAUCUAGUGGCGAACGGGUGAGUAACACGUGGGUAACCUGCCCAUCAGAGGGGGAUAACAUCCGGAAACGGAUGCUAAAACCGCAUAGGUCUUCGAACCGCAUGGUUUGAAGAGGAAAAGAGGCGCAAGCUUCUGCUGAUGGAUGGACCCGCGGUGCAUUAGCUAGUUGGUGAGGUAACGGCUCACCAAGGCCGUGAUGCAUAGCCGACCUGAGAGGGUGAUCGGCCACAUUGGGACUGAGACACGGCCCAAACUCCUACGGGAGGCAGCAGUAGGGAAUCUUCCGCAAUGGACGCAAGUCUGACGGAGCAACGCCGCGUGAGCGAAGAAGGUUUUCGGAUCGUAAAACUCUGUUGUUAGAGAAGAACAAGUGCUAGAGUAACUGUUAGCGACUUGACGGUAGCUAACCAGAAAGCCACGGCUAACUACGUG
This 498-nucleotide ribosomal RNA is filed under the name uncultured bacterium. RNAcentral describes it as "partial 16S ribosomal RNA". It matches the Rfam family "Bacterial small subunit ribosomal RNA", at positions 28 to 507 of the family's 1533-position model. The record is from RNAcentral.